This 210-nucleotide long non-coding RNA is filed under the name Lathyrus oleraceus (garden pea). RNAcentral's name for it is "Pisum sativum (pea) long non-coding RNA (PSAT_LNC039089)". Lineage: Eukaryota; Viridiplantae; Streptophyta; Magnoliopsida; Fabales; Fabaceae. The record is from RNAcentral.
UCAAACAUUGCUUUCUGCUCUUCCACCACGCCGUUGUUCAUGAUAUAGUAGCAUAAAGGCUUUCCCCUUUCUGUUUCGUCUGGUACAAAGUCUCCCUCUGUUUUAGAAACUUCAGACACCAUGUCGAAUUCAGCUGGCAGUACCGACACAAUUCCGCAGUUUACGACGAAAUCAUCACCAUAGAUAUCUUCGUUGUUUUCUCCAUACAUA